CCCUUAGAUGUUCUGGGCCGCACGCGCGCUACAAUGAUGAAUUCAACGAGUUUAUAACCUUGGUUGAAAAGCCUGGGUAAUCUUUUGAACUUUCGUCGUGAUGGGGCUAGACCCUUGCAAUUAUUGGUCUCCAACGAGGAAUUCCUAGUAAACGCAAGUCAUCAGCUUGCAUUGAUUACGUCCCUGCCCUUUGUACACACCGCCCGUCGCACCUACCGAUUGAGUGAUCCGGUGAAUUAUUCGGACUGCAACGCGCUCAGUUCCUGGAUGCGAUUGCGGAAAGUUUUGUGAACCUUACCACUUAGAGGAAGGAGAAGUCGUAACA
This 325-nucleotide ribosomal RNA is filed under the name uncultured eukaryote. RNAcentral's name for it is "partial 18S ribosomal RNA". It matches the Rfam family "Eukaryotic small subunit ribosomal RNA", at positions 1470 to 1796 of the family's 1831-position model. The record is from RNAcentral.